AACGAACGCUGGCGGCAUGCCUAACACAUGCAAGUCGAACGAGACCUUCGGGUCUAGUGGCGCAAGGGUGCGUAACGCGUGGGAACCUGCCCUUAGGUUCGGAAUAACUCCCCGAAAGGGGUGCUAAUACCGGAUAAUGUCUUCGGACCAAAGAUUUAUCGCCUUUGGAUGGGCCCGCGUUGGAUUAGCUAGUUGGUAGGGUAAAAGCCUACCAAGGCGACGAUCCAUAGCUGGUCUGAGAGGAUGAUCAGCCACACUGGGACUGAGACACGGCCCAGACUCCUACGGGGGGCAGCAGUGGGGAAUAUUGGACAAUGGGCGAAAGCCUGAUCCAGCAAUGCCGCGUGAGUGAUGAAGGCCUUAGGGUUGUAAAGCUCUUUUACCCGGGAUGAUAAUGACAGUACCGGGAGAAUAAGCUCCGGCUAACUCCGUG
This 433-nucleotide ribosomal RNA is filed under the name uncultured bacterium. RNAcentral's name for it is "partial 16S ribosomal RNA". It matches the Rfam family "Bacterial small subunit ribosomal RNA", at positions 29 to 507 of the family's 1533-position model. The record is from RNAcentral.